UCAAACUUGGUCAUUUAGAGGAAGUAAAAGUCGUAACAAGGUAACCGUAGGUGAACCUGCGGUUGGAUCAUUAACUUUUUGCGGACUGUUUGGUGGCAAGUUCCGCUUUGCGUUCACCUCACCGUGAAGGGAAAGCGGACACUCCAUCACAAAGUUCCACCCACCUUAUGUGAACUGUUUCUGUCCUUGGUGGCGGGGCAGGAGGGAUACACAAAGUACCUUACUUUUUACCUCUUGCCUGUCAGCUUGGAGCUGUUGGCCCACAGCUCCCUGCCGUGGACAAGCCACCGCUUUCUUUCUGCAAACGUGCUUAGCUCAUAUUGUUGUUGACUGAAAACCACUUGCAGUGAAUGUCGUGACAUCACAAUGUUUUAAACAACUUUUGGCAACGGAUCUCUUGGCUCUCGCAUCGAUGAAGAACGCAGC
This 426-nucleotide unclassified non-coding RNA is filed under the name uncultured fungus. RNAcentral describes it as "partial contains small subunit ribosomal RNA, internal transcribed spacer 1, and 5.8S ribosomal RNA". The stretch from base 1 to 73 matches the Rfam family "Eukaryotic small subunit ribosomal RNA", at positions 1759 to 1831 of the family's 1831-position model. The record is from RNAcentral. Lineage: Eukaryota; Fungi.